RNAcentral lists this ribosomal RNA (433 nucleotides) under uncultured bacterium. RNAcentral's name for it is "partial 16S ribosomal RNA". It matches the Rfam family "Bacterial small subunit ribosomal RNA", at positions 29 to 507 of the family's 1533-position model. The record is from RNAcentral.
AACGAACGCUGGCGGCAUGCCUAACACAUGCAAGUCGAACGAGACCUUCGGGUCUAGUGGCGCACGGGUGCGUAACGCGUGGGAACCUGCCCUUAGGUUCGGAAUAACUCCCCGAAAGGGGUGCUAAUACCGGAUAAUGUCUUCGGACCAAAGAUUUAUCGCCUUUGGAUGGGCCCGCGUUGGAUUAGCUAGUUGGUAGGGUAAAAGCCUACCAAGGCGACGAUCCAUAGCUGGUCUGAGAGGAUGAUCAGCCACACUGGGACUGAGACACGGCCCAGACUCCUACGGGAGGCAGCAGAGGGGAAUAUUAGACGAUGAGCGAAAGCCUGAUACAGCAAUGCCGCGUGAGUGAUGAAGGCCUUAGGGUUGUAAAGCUCUUUUACCCGGGAUGAUAAUGACAGUACCGGGAGAAUAAGCUCCGGCUAACUCCGUG